Molecule: ribosomal RNA, 460 nt
Filed under: uncultured bacterium
Lineage: Bacteria
Description: partial 16S ribosomal RNA
Rfam family: Bacterial small subunit ribosomal RNA
Source: RNAcentral
CCUACGGGAGGCAGCAGUGAGGAAUAUUGGUCAAUGGGCUUACGCCUGAACCAGCCAAGUCGCGUGAGGGAAGACUGCCCUAUGGGUUGUAAACCUCUUUUGUCAGGGAGCACCGCCGGCUACGUGUAGCCGGACUGAGAGUACCUGAAGAAAAAGCAUCGGCUAACUCCGUGCCAGCAGCCGUGGUAAUACGGAGGAUUCGAGCGUUAUCCGGAUUUAUGGGGUUUAAAGGGUGCGUAGGCGGAAUGCCAAGUCAGCGGUAAAAUCGCGGGGCUCAGCCUCGCUCCGCCGUUGCAACUGGCGUUCUUGAGUGGGCGAGAAGUAUGCGGAAUGCGUGGUGUAGCGGUGAAAUGCAUAGAUAUCACGCAGAACUCCGAUUGCGAAGGCAGCAUACCGGCGCCCAACUGACGCUGAAGCACGAAAGCGUGGGUAUCGAACAGGAUUAGAUACCCCUGUAGUC